GAUGUGGCACCCAGGGAAUGGAUGUGGCACUCAGGGGACACACAUAACACUUGGGGAGGGGGACAUGGCACCCAGGGAAUGGACAGGGCACCCAGAGGACACAUGUGACACUUGGGGACAGGGACAUGGCACCCAGGGGAUGCAUGUGGCACUUGGGGACACACACACACACAUGGCACCCAGGGGAUGGACAUGGUGCCCAGGGGACAUAGUACCCAGGGGAGGCUGCGGGAGGGGGACAGCACCCAGGGGACACACACAGAACCCAGGGGGCAUGGCAUGUGGGAGAUGUGGUACCCAGGGGACAUGGCACCCAGGGGACACACAUGCACCCAAGGGGAUGGACAUGGCAUCUGGGGGACACACACGGAACCCAGGGGACACAGGACCUAGGGGAUGGACAUGGCACNNNNNNNNNNCUGUGACCCCCAGGGGUGCCAGCCAGGACCCCACGUCCUGCAGCCUCCCCCCCCACAGUGGGUGACCCUCUUUUCUCCCCCAGGACCCCCACCCCAGAGACGGGGGACGGCGAGUGCGAGGGGCCCCAGGAGGAGAGCCGGGGGUGCUCGGGGGGGCCCUGCCCACCCCUCUGCCUGCAGGGGGGCAGCGAGCGGCAGCUGGGCGAGAGCUGGCCCCAGGGCGAGUGCCAGCGAUGGUCAGUGCCGGGGGGAGCCGGGGGGCUGGGGGGGGUGUGUGUGUGAUCUGCACCCCCAAACCCACCCACCGUGUCCCCCCACCCACAGCACCUGCACCCCCGAGGGCACCCAGUGCCAGGACAUCCCCUGUGCCGGGUCGGGGGGCUGCGUGUGGGGUGCCUGGACCCCCUGCUCCCGCUCCUGUGGCACCGGCCUGGCCACCCGGGAGGCUGCCUGUCACCACAGCCACGGUGACGGUGACAGUGAUGGUGCCGGUGAUGGUGACGGUGAUGGUGAUGGUGCCAGCCAGGAGCUACACCGUGAGGCGCGGGUGUGUUAUCUGCGCCCCUGCCCAGGUAAGGUGUCGGGGUGGGUUGGGGGGGGGCUGGAUGGGGUCCCUGCCC
RNAcentral lists this long non-coding RNA (1039 nucleotides) under Calidris pugnax (ruff). Its description in RNAcentral is "lncRNA (ENSCPUG00000000566.1)". The record is from RNAcentral. Lineage: Eukaryota; Metazoa; Chordata; Aves; Charadriiformes; Scolopacidae.